This 492-nucleotide ribosomal RNA is filed under the name uncultured bacterium. RNAcentral describes it as "partial 16S ribosomal RNA". It matches the Rfam family "Bacterial small subunit ribosomal RNA", at positions 29 to 507 of the family's 1533-position model. The record is from RNAcentral.
AGUGAACGCUGGCGGUAGGCCUAACACAUGCAAGUCGAACGGCAGCACAGUAAGAGCUUGCUCUUACGGGUGGCGAGUGGCGGACGGGUGAGGAAUACAUCGGAAUCUACUUUUUCGUGGGGGGUAACGUAGGGAAACUUACGCUAAUACCGCAUACGACCUACGGGUGAAAGCAGGGGAUCUUCGGACCUUGCGCGAUUGAAUGAGCCGAUGUCGGAUUAGCUAGUUGGCGGGGUAAAGGCCCACCGAGGCGACGAUGCGUAGCUGGUCUGAGAGGAUGAUCAGCCACACUGGAACUGAGACACGGUCCAGACUCCUACGGGAGGCAGCAGUGGGGAAUAUUGGACAAAGGGCGCAAGCCUGAUCCAGCCAUACCGCGUGAGUGAAGAAGGCCUUCGGGUUGUAAAGCCCUUUUGUUGGGAAAGAAAAGCAGCAGGUUAAUACCCCGCUGUUCUGACGGUACCCAAAGAAUAAGCACCGGCUAACUUCGUG